CCAGGCUCCCUCCCAGCGCGCCGGCCCGGGUGUGGGGGGCAGCGGGCCGGAGGGGCGCGGGCGGACGAGGGGCGCGCGCUGCGAUCGGCGCCGGAGACCGGACCCUCGGCCGCGAGGGUACGAGUUGAAUGGGAAACAGAAUAUCUGUUUUAUAAAUAAUCGUGGAAGAUAAAAGUAAACAAGACAUAGUCCAUACAGAAGACAAGAUGGAAAGGAAACAACGAGGAAUUAUUGAAAAAAAGAAAGUAUAAAGUCCAAUUAUGUGAGGUGUUUACCAGGUAAAAUAUUGCAGUACCUGUAAGAGGAAAGGAUGCAAAUUGGUAUUUAUACAUUUGGAAGAACAGUCACCUUUGAUGUGCCUAUUUGGUUUUCAGGAUGUUGCUGGCCUCUGCUCUUCUAAGACUUCAGCUGCAGAGCCCACUUGUGAACCCUCCUAGGGCUCUGGAGAAGAUGUAAUGGGAGAUUGAGUGUGGAAACUCUUUGGAAACCAUGAAGCACUCCGUAAAAGGUCUUGCUGUAACAAAAGUAAUCCCCAUCACCUGAAAGUGGAUUUCGUCAGAUGAAAAACGUAAAAAGUAGAUUGAUGUAAAAGCCCAGAUGAUGCUUUGCUGCUGGUCUCUGAGUAGCAAGAGUCAGGGCCCUUUCUGGGGUAUCUCUUCUUCCCUUGGCACAGAAAGCAUCAGGAAAAUGGUUACUGGCCAGAGGCUUAAAGACACAUGGGAAAUGCACGGUACCUCUGUAAGACCAGAAAUAAAACAGACAAGUUAAACAAAGGAGAGACACAUGAAUCAAAAUACGACAUUAUUACACACACUGAGUUGGAGUGAAAGAUGGACCAUCCAGGCAUUCACUGGAUAUUAGUGAAGCUGUUUUUGAAGUUUAAUUUGAAGCCCCAAAUAAGAGUCAUCGUACCUAGCUACAGCCUUUCACUAGAAAGAAAAAAUUCAACAUUUUCUAUUAAGGAGGAACUAAAACUCAGAGGUACUGAGUUGUAAAGUGCCAGUUUACACAAAUCUCUUCCCUCCUCCAAAAGUUUCUAAUGAUUAUGGUUUCUGGAAAAUAAGGUAUCAUGUUUUCAAUGCACACUCAGUCUACAAAAAAGCCCUUCAAAAACUUUAAGCUAGAAAGACAGGUAAUUUUCCAGUAUCAUAGAGAUAAUUCACGCCAGUCACAAGAUGUACAUUUUUAGAAUUUGGAGCAUUACAAGGAGAGUAAAGCGUUUUGCAUGCAUAUGUUCAUGUGCAUACCCCCACAUCAUUAAAAUCUUCCAAGGUGUGACAUGCAUUUACAGAGUCACUCCCCUAGCAUUUCAACUGUGAGGCGUUUUUCUAGAAGAUUCGCUCAGUUGGCCGAUAGGCACUUUGGCAAUCUCAUACGUGACUUACAAACAUUGUGAUGUACUUGCCAGAAGUAAACCCGACUUUGCUAAUCACUUAUCAGUUCUUUUACCCACUAUGGCUUUGUUUGAGAAGCAAUGUUGCUUGUCUUACCAAUAUAUAUUAUCCAGUUUGUAGAAAGUAUAAAUUAAUAUUGCAAACAGCAACAGGAUAUCCUGGGUGCAAAUUCCUGCGUCCUGGUGGGCACAGUGCUAUUUAGAACUAAUAGCUCUUUCUUGCACUAUUGCCACUGCCAAACAGACUGCUUAUGUGAUCUUUGGCUUUCUUCAUGUCUCUUGGGGGAUCAAUAGAAUGUUUCUAUUUUCCUAGAUGCCAACUUUGUCUCCUUUAUACUUUAAAAAUUCAGUAUUAGUUUAAGAAUACUUCAAGAAUAUAGUAUUAGUUUAAAGGACUUUUCAAUUUAAAGCAAACUUGUAGAGAUUUAGUCACCCACGAUUGACUGAUGUUAGGUGAGUAGAAAAAAAAAUGUAGGUUGAUUUCAUACUCUGCCUUUCAGAUCUUUGAAGGGGAAAUUAAGUUUUUGAAAACUGUUCAAAUUUUUUAAAGUAACUUAAGCUACAUUGCUCUUCUGUUUUUAGCUAUAGAAAUGGGGAAGUGUAUAUAUCAGCUAUUUUUUCUUUAAGGACUUAUGUGAAUUUUUCUCUUAGCGUAAACAUUAAUAAUUGGAAAUUAUUGAAUUGUCAUCUUAAUGUUGCACAUGAAAUAAAUCUGAUAUGUGUAUUAGCAACAAAGGCUUAUGUCCCAAACAGGAAAGAAUAAUUCAUGAAACCAAAUUUGAAGUUCAAGCAGAACUGUGACAUUAACAAAUUUGUAUUUCCCUUUUUCUUGGCCCUGUUGGUCUUUGUGCAGUGUAUAAAUAACUACAAAUAAAGAACUAAUGAUCACAUUUCUACUGGGAAAUUUAUUUUAAAUGUGACAACUAUUUCUCAACUGUUUGUGUACAUACAACUGCUGGCUGAUCCAGUUUCUUUUUUAUAAGAAAACCUGGUGAAUCUGAAAUAAAAAUGCAACAUAUUAUCUUUCAUGUAAAUAUACUAGUAAUACUUAAAAACGUAAUUGUCCUUGACAAGAGAUUUACAAAUAGGAGCCUAAUUAAUAAAUUUCAUUUUUGUUCUUCCUGCUGUUGCCAUGCUCCCUUGAACUUCUUUCCUUCAGAUGACCUUGUAUUUUCUUUGCAACUCACACUCAAUAAUGCGUGUUGUUAUGCAUUUUUUAAUAGCAGGAAGCAAACUAUUAAAAAAUUAAUCAAAGUUGCGGGAAAAAGUCACUCCCAUACUAGAAAAAAGAAAAUGUAGCUUUAUUUCAUCAUCUUUUUGGAGGCUCAAGAAGGGAGCAAGUUUCCUUUAAAAAUAUGAGAUGAUAUAUUAUUUGAUAGUUGCCUUAACUACUGCUGAUUGAGAUAGUAAAUUGGCACAACAGGUGGGUAAUGGUCUUCAAAACAACAAAAAAAACCCCAAACCUUAAACUGUGUAUAUCCGUUCACACAGAGAAACUCACUUUUAGAAAUUUGUGCUAAGGAAAUAUGGAUGUGUUCACAGUUAAGUAUAAGAAUGUUCGUUGCAGCAUAUAUUGGGGGAAAAUUGGAAGCGCCUUAUGUCGAAGUAUAGAGACUAGUUUAAUAAAUUAUAAUACAUCCAGUCUAUAAAAUUCCAUUCACUAUCACAAGGGAAAUGGUGUAGAAAGUAUUUAAUGAUGUGAGAAAUGGAAACAUUAAGUGAAAAAAGUAAGUUACAAAGUAAUUUUUGUAAAAUGAUCACACACACCAUAUAUAUAUACACAUAUGGCAUGUUAUAAAAUGUUAAUGGGUCAAUUAUAACA
Globicephala melas (long-finned pilot whale) is the source of this 3215-nucleotide long non-coding RNA. RefSeq lists it as uncharacterized. The record is from RefSeq and is a predicted model, not a curated record. NCBI's taxonomy places the organism in Eukaryota, Metazoa, Chordata, Mammalia, Artiodactyla, Delphinidae.